UGAAGGGACCAGCUCCCCAUUUCGGCAGCCACGACAGUAACACGUGCUUGCCAUAACCUUGCCUGGGUCACUUAGAGGUCAGAUGCCUGCCUUGUGGCAAGGAACCAAUCAGAAGUUAGCUGGUGGUGCUAUGCUUUAUGGCUCUGGGUGUGCUUUACAGACAAGCGCACAGCAAUGAUGCACAGAGCAUAAUUACCACCCUGGGAGAGCCUAUGGGCCAUAACAACCAGUUGACCAAUCAACACAGGGCAAACCCUCCAAGCCUGGAGGCACACCAAUCCUGAGCCUGUGCAUACCCCUAGACUUUCCCCUUAGAAUGCUGCCCUAUAAAGAUCUGUACACAGCAGCUUCAAACUGUCUUUGCUAGCCAUCCGCCAUGGCGGGUGGGUGAAAGACCCAAGCAAACAUGGGGUUAGCUCGUUUAAAAAACAAAACAAAACAAUAAAGCCUCAUGCAGUUUGCAGCAAGCUCUCGAAUCCACCUGGUGAUUGGGGUGACCUCAGUUGUUGCCUGGGACCCUGGAUACCUGAGUUUUCCGGGGGGUCUUACAUUUCGGGGCUCGUCCUGGAUUUGCAACCACCCCUCACCUGAGUGGAGUCGAUCUUGGGGGUAAGCGGGUACCCUGUAUUGUCUGUGUCUUUGUGUUUUUGUGCCGGCUGAAAUCUGGUUCUGUGCUUUGCAGUCCCUCGAGUCUCGGGAAGAGACAAGAGCUCUGGUCUCUGGAGGAGACAGAGUGUGAUCAGCAGACAUGCUAGGAGAUCACCGACUGCCACCCUGGAAGACGUUCCAGGAAGUCUGUGGGAACCUCAGGGGCACUUGGGAGAUUGCCAUCUGGGAGCCGGUGAGGGUACGGUAGUUCUCCUGGAUUGGGGAAGUUAUACGCCCUCCUGGCUGUCUGUAUUUCUGGAGUGGUUUUGUCUGUCUAGGUGGAGACAGACAUCUGAUAGUUUUUGUCUGUGUGUCUUGGGUUUGUUUUUGUCUUAUUUGUGACUUUGAUGAUAGGACCGACCAUAACUAACCCCCCUCAGUCUGACUUUUGACCACUGGACGGACGUUAAGGACCAUAGUUAGUCAGUUAAAGUUACGACACCCCCUUUCGCUGAGUCACAUGGCACCACACUAGGUAACUUUAUUUUCCAGUCUUUGUUUCUGUAUGGUUUCUGUACAAGAAUUAUUUAGGGCAGAGGUUCAGAUGACAGCUUCUGCAGUCUGUAGGAGCGGGACCUGGUAGGAUCAAGUUGCUUGCUCCAUCUGUAAGGGGACCCAAGCAGGUCUCCCAAUCUGUAGGACAGGGACUUACUGGGAGCAAGUUGUCUGGUCCAUCUGUAAGAGGACCCAAGCAGGUCUCCCAAUCUGUAGGACAGGGACUUGCUGGGAGCAAGUCAUCUGAAAUUCCGAAUAGGACCCUGGUCUGUGUUACUGUACUGUCUGUCCACGUUUCACAUUUGUGUUGUGUGUUUGUUAAGCAUCUCUUUCUGUCCCUACUGCCCACACACGUGGUAUGCAUGGGUCAGGGGUCUUUUCUUGUUGCCCUGAGCACGUGGCUCGGGGCAGGAGUUCUGCCAUGUGUCACGGAUUAGAAUGUGUUGUGUUGGAGUCCCCUGAGACUGCUUCUCUGAACUUGAACUGCUGCUGUGGCCCUUACAGCUGAGCCUGGCCGACAUAGGUGAGUCUUUCCUAUCCCCACCUGCUGGUCUGUGAGGCAUGCAAAGUGGGGUUGUCUCUGCCCCAACUGCUGUCCUGCCAUGAGUCCUGGCUUGCCUCGGGAGUUUCCCUGCUCUGAGGGAACAUUGCUGCAAGGCUGCCAUCUGCCUAGCUGCCUGGCCUUCUUUGUGCUCCACGCACGUGGUAUGCAGGGGGACUGCAGGGAUCUUUUUCCCACUCCUGCUUUGGCCGAGGGUCUGGGAUUACUAGCAGCAACCUCCCAGAUCUCUUCCCUGAGCACAUGGAGCUCAGGCAGGUGAACCAUCUAUCCUGAUCUGGAUGUUCUAAAAAAAAAAAUCGUCCUUAAAGUUAUUAAAAAAAAAAAAAAAACCUUAAGAAGGACUUUGAUAAGAGUAUAUGUUGACCAAGAAAUGAGAGAAAAUGUAGGAGACUAAAGUAAUAGAGAGAGAAAGGAAGAAAGAAAUUUGUCUAAGAAUGUCUAUAGGAAGUUAUAGAGGGUUAAAGCAAGUCGUAGAAGGUCAGAGAAAAGUUGUCAAAGGUCAGAGAAAAGGUUGUUAUAAGUCAGAGAAAAGUGUAACUGUAAACUGUUAUGGUUUCUCAUGUCUACAAAUAGUAAAUUUUAAAAUUGGUAAUAUAAGUUAAAAUUUUAACCAUAUCAAGUUAAUUCAGUUUUAAAAGUUUUGUUUAUUUCUCAAGUAAAUUAUGUAUACUUGUUUUAAAAUGUUCUAUUGCCUGGCAUAACCUAAGUUUUGUUACAUGGCUAACUGGUAGCCAUUUUGCUGAAGUUGAAAAAAGAUACUUAAAUUGCCAUCUUGACUAAAGAUGAUUGCAUGGAAAUUAGAGGUACUAUCUUAGAAACAAGUUUUUCAAUUAAGAUUUAAAAUGUUAAAACUUCUAUAUAUUAUAGAAAGACUUUUAAGGGAAUUUAAAUUUCUUUUUAAAACCAGUUUUUUUUUUUAAAAAAAACAUUGACUUUCUAUUUCUUUAUUUAUUUAUUAUGUAUACAACAUUCUGCUUCCAUGUAUAUCUGCACACCAGAAGAGGGCACCAGAUCUCAUAAUGGAUGGCUGUGAGCCACCGUGUGGUUGCUGGGAAUUGAACUCAGGACCUCUGGAAGAGCAGUCAGUGCUCUUAACCUCUGAGCCAUCUCUCCAGCCCUUAAAACCAGUUUUUUAAAUGUUUGUUUUUAUUAAUGUUUGUACUUAAAGAGCUUCAAUUUAGAAUUAUUUUUAAGCAACGCCUGACAAUGUAAAGUACCUGUUUUAUAAAAGAUGCUAAUCUAUUAUAAGAUGUUACAGUUUAUGUUUUCAGAAGUUAAGUUUAGGGCAUUGGUGGCACACACCUUUAAGUUUAGGGCAUUGGUGGCACAUGCCUUUAAUCCCAGCACUCAGGAGGCAGAGGCAGAUGGAUCUUUGUGAGUUCAAGGCCAGCCUGGUCACAGAUCGAAUUCCAUGACAGGCUCCAAAGUCACAGAAAAACUCUGUCUCAGAAAGAAAUGAAGUUUAAGCAAACAGCUAAAAUAUGUACAUGUAGCUACUGUUUAAGGAAUAUAAGGUAGCUCUAUGCAGUUUUAAGUUCAGCUGUGCUAAGUUUCAAACAUUUUAGUAAGUUAAAACCAGUUACAGUCAGACUGAAAAUUAAUUACAGAAGUAAGACAUUACCUAGCCACCUGUGUGCUUAAUGUGUGCUUAAGGAAAGUAACUAAAAUAGACAAACAGACCUCUAAUGUUUCAGAGACCUGCAGAGUAUGUCAUUUAAAUUGUUAUUUUAAAAGUUUAUAAUAUCAGACAGACUGCCAGAUCCUGACAGUGACCCAAAGUCUCCAAAGAAGAUUAUGAGGCACCCCAGUUCCUGCACCUGGAUGAUGGUGACGCUCAUCAGUGAUUGAGAUGCUCAGAUGUGAUACUUGUUGCCUGUCACGACCUGGCCGAGACUGUGGACAAAGCUGCUGGACACUGGAAAAUUGAUUGUACCCCCUUUGCCUAGACAAAACAAGGUCAGUCUUUUCCAUGUCCCUCUUCCACAGAGAGGAAAAAAAAACCUCUUACCUUAUAGGCCUGGCAAAGAUUGCUGUUCUUUGAGACAUCUGCCUCCAGCGGUAAUGGAGAAACUUGGGUGUGGCUAACUGUAUAUGGUCUGGCUUCUAACUGGCUUCUGUUACUUUUUAGUAGAUUCAAAUAAAAUAUACCCUUCUCAGAUCUCUGAAAUAUUAAUGGUUGUCAGCUUGACAGUAUCAGGCAGUCAGAUCCACUAUAGACUAGUCAGUAUGUUAGCUGAUAAAGAAAUGACUAUCUACUGUUCAGGUACAAGUUCAAGGUUUUUAGGUUUAUUUUGGUUGUCAUCUAAAUAUAAACUUAAAGGGCUUUUCAUCAGGCCAAAGGCACCUCUGUCCAAUCCAUACCUGGCUCUCUGGACAGAAGAAAAAUGGACAUGCUUCUAGCCCAUAUCUGUCGUAUUGCUAGGACUCAAAGUUAUAAAUAUGUUCCUGCUGUUUGAACAGAUACCCAGAUAUCUGCUUUUUCUGCACUGUGGGCUUCAGUAAAUAAGUUUUAACUUCUGUUCCUAGUUUAAACAUGUCUUAAACAGGUUUCUGCUUCUGGCAGACAUCUGAGUAUCAGUUGCUGACUACAGGCUGUUCUAAGUAGACUUCGAGCCCUGGACUUGCUGUGGAUAUGAACCAGUUCAGCUGAUAAAGACAUCCCCUGUCUCUGCAACAGAAUCUGCCAAUCAGAAGCUCCUGAUGGAUUCCCCAUUGCCUAAAUUCCUUUUUUGCUUUUGACUAGCAUUUCAACCUUCUGGGGUCCCUAACUUCGUCCCAAAGUCAGCAGGAAGUAGCUUGGGAAAGAAUUCACCACCCAUUUUCCCUGGUUAAAAUGCUAAAUCAGAAGGGACUCCCUUGCAUGGGGAUGCCAAUAUCUCUCACUCCCUGAUGGGGGCGCUAGAGAGACAGCAAUUCCAUGAUUGGAAUUUCCAAAAAAGAAAAUGGGGGAAUGAAGGGACCAGCUCCCCAUUUCGGCAGCCACGACAGUAACACGUGCUUGCCAUAACCUUGCCUGGGUCACUUAGAGGUCAGAUGCCUGCCUUGUGGCAAGGAACCAAUCAGAAGUUAGCUGGUGGUGCUAUGCUUUAUGGCUCUGGAUGUGCUUUACAGACAAGCGCACAGCAAUGAUGCACAGAGCAUAACAACCACCCUGGGAGAGCCUAUGGGCCAUAACAACCAGUUGACCAAUCAACACAGGGCAAACCCUCCAAGCCUGGAGGCACACCAAUCCUGAGCCUGUGCAUACCCCUAGACUUUCCCCUUAGAAUGCUGCCCUAUAAAGAUCUGUACACAGCAGCUUCGAACUGUCUUUGCUAGCCAUCCGCCAUGGGUGGGUGAAAGACCCGAGCAAACAUGGGGUUAGCUCGUUUAAAAAACAAAACAAAACAAUAAAGCCUCAUGCAGUUUGCAGCAAGUUCUCGAAUCCACCUGGUGAUUGGGGUGACCUCGGUUGUUGCCUGGGACCCCGGAUACCUGAGUUUUCCGGGGGUCUUACAGAGUUAACUCCAUCCUCUCCCGUUUACCUUGCUCUUAUAGGCAGCAUCCCUUUUUCUCUGUGAGGUGGCAUGCUUCCAGUAGUUCAAACAUUGAACACACUGUAUGCUGACUGAAAGGCUAGAAGAGGGCAUCAUAUCGUUGGAACUGGAGUUACAGAUGGUUAUGGGGAGCCAGGAAAUCGAACCCAGGUCCUAUUCAAGAGAAGUUAGUGCUCUUAACCACUGAGUCAUUUCUUCAGCCCCAAGACUAAAACUUUUAACUGAAGACAGAAUCAAAUCAAUAAUGUGCUUUGCUGAGCACACAGGAGCCUGGGCUGGAAGAAAAAAAAAAAUCACAAACUUGGUGUUGAUCUUGUCUU
RNAcentral lists this long non-coding RNA (5561 nucleotides) under Cricetulus griseus (Chinese hamster). RNAcentral's name for it is "lncRNA (ENSCGRG00015035762.1)". Lineage: Eukaryota; Metazoa; Chordata; Mammalia; Rodentia; Cricetidae. The record is from RNAcentral.